Unclassified non-coding RNA from Dipodomys ordii (Ord's kangaroo rat), 101 nucleotides. Ensembl annotates it as predicted gene, 55107. NCBI's taxonomy places the organism in Eukaryota, Metazoa, Chordata, Mammalia, Rodentia, Heteromyidae. The record is from Ensembl.
UUUCACAUUUGUUAGUUUCUCAGAAUGGAACUAACUCAAGCCCUCCAUUCCACAGCCCGGCUCACUGCCCUCCUCCCGGAGGGCCAGUGAGUUGAUGGGUC